Molecule: ribosomal RNA, 460 nt
Filed under: uncultured bacterium
Lineage: Bacteria
Description: partial 16S ribosomal RNA
Rfam family: Bacterial small subunit ribosomal RNA
Source: RNAcentral
CCUACGGGUGGCAGCAGUGAGGAAUAUUGGUCAAUGGGCGCGAGCCUGAACCAGCCAAGUCGCGUGAGGGAAGACGGCCCUACGGGUUGUAAACCUCUUUUGCCGGGGAGCAACGGGCGCCACGUGUGGCGCCACUGAGAGUACCCGGAGAAAAAGCAUCGGCUAACUCCGUGCCAGCAGCCGCGGUAAUACGGAGGAUGCGAGCGUUAUCCGGAUUUAUUGGGUGUAAAGGGUGCGUAGGCGGGGCGUUAAGUCAGUGGUCAAAUUGAGGGGCUCAACCCCUUCCCGCCAUUGAAACUGGCGCACUUGAGUGGAAGAGAGGUAUGCGGAAGGCGUGGUGUAGCGGUGAAAUGCAUAGAUAUCACGCAGAACCCUGGUUGCGAAGGCAGCAUGCCGGCUUCCGACUGACGCUGAGGCACGAAAGCGUGGGGAUCGAACAGGAUUAGAUACCCGGGUAGUC